This is a non-coding RNA of Anas platyrhynchos (mallard), 6069 nucleotides long. NCBI's taxonomy places the organism in Eukaryota, Metazoa, Chordata, Aves, Anseriformes, Anatidae. The record is from RefSeq and is a predicted model, not a curated record.
AAGUAAUGAAGUGGAAAGUGAAGAAGGUAGCUUGAUGAUAAGAAUGUGUUAACAGUUUUACAAAAACUUUUCUAAAUUGUAGGAUACAUAUGCUGGAUGGGUAACCAACUGAAUGAAUUGCAAUUCGCAGGCUGUGAAAUACCCGUCUUCUUUACUUGUCAGCUUUCUGGCCAUUUUGAUGAGAUGCAAACAUGAACUCAGCAAGUUUGUCCUUCAUCCCCCUCUCUUCCUUUAUCAGGAGUUUUAUCAGGAACUCAGCAGAUGACUGCCUCUGUCUAUCAGGAGAGCAGUAUGACUGCAAGUGGAAAUGAACAAGAAAAAACACAAAUCUUUAUUAUCCAAAUACUAGGCUGAAUGGCAGCAAGGAUGAAAUAAGCUUUUCUUUAUCACUUUUUGAUUAUUCCUUUGCCAGUUUGAAGUGUACUUGGAGAGGAGUUGUUUUGUUUGUUUUGUUUUGGUUUUUCACUUGGAGCUCAUUUCUCUGGGACCUUCAGGCCCAUGCAGAGUUGGUAUUUGCUUAGAGAGGGCAUGAUAAAUGUCUCUCUCAAGAGAACAGGGUUAUAACUGAGGGUCCUCCAUCAGGUCACAUAGAGGUACGAAUGUGGCCACUGAGGAGUUCUGUACCCUUUUCUGCAUUUACUUCCAAACAGGUUGUAACUGCAAACAUAUGAUGCGCUUGCAUUUGGAACAGGGAGGUGACAUCGAGAUGAUCUGAGGUCAGGAGAAAACUGUACACAAGUAAAAUGGAGAAGUUGAUCCAGGUGAAGAGGAAUGCUGGAUGGAAAGGAAUAAGCAGCAGAAUAACUUGUCUGACACAUAUAAUUCACUGUGACACUACUUCCUUCAGGACUUCCAUAUGUGAGAUACUAAAACAGAAAGCAACUGCAUGAAGGAGACGUGCUCAAGGAGCUCUUUCCGACCUUAGUCUCCGCCAAGAAAACCAAAACUGGGGCAGGGACUUUCUGUAACUUCCUUUCACAUCGACGUGCACACUUUUACUUGCUCCUGACUGUUCUCCCCCGUAGCAAGGGGAGAACAAGGACAAACGCAGAGGAUGAGCAGCGCCUGUGGAGAGCUUGCUCCAAGGACAACCACAGCACCCUGCAGCACUAGGCCAACGCCAUAUCGGCGUUCCUGGCGCAUUCCUGGGGACGGUUUCAGGACCAGUUUUGGGUCUGUUUUGGGCCUGGUGUCAAAGCAGCUUCCGGCUCCCUCCCCUCCCCCACCCCAGCUCCCUGCCCCUCCCCCCAUUCCAACGGCUGUUCUCCGAACUCUCUAGAGACUCCUCGUGCCCGAAGCCCCGGUUGCUAGGCAACACCAUUUACCUCACGCGCAUUGCCAUGGUGACAGCUCCCGGCGGGCGGGCCACCAUGGCAGCUCCUCACACAGCAGCCGUUGGAGCCCCACACGCGGGACAUGGAACCACCUCACCUCACCUCAGCCAGGACCCCAAGCCAUUCUCCCCUCAGUCUUGUGGCCGCAGGCACCAAGGCCUGGCAGCACUCCCAGCACUGUCAGGCACAGUUUCAGGACCACUGACCUCUGGCAAGAAGUGUUCAAUCAAAGCACAGAACGGGCAUUUGGGGAAGGCAAUUUGGGAAAUUUGUUUACUUCUGUACAUGCCGUAUGUAGGUGGGAACAGUUUUCUCCAGAGUUGCCAGAGGGACAUCAAGAGCACACAUAGGGGUGAGCAUGUGUACAUAGCCACGAGAGGAGCAAUUGUAAAGGGAUCAUCCUGAGUGGGAAUAAAGCCAUAAAAAUGCUUGCUUCCCCAUUCUACGGAAACACUCUCUUACCACUAGUGGUGAAAUAGCAAGUAAGCAAAGAGCGUAAAACCAUGGUGCUACUCCUUAGCAACAAGCAAAAUGGUAGAAUGGAACACCAGAACCCCUCUAGCAACUGGAAGAUGACAGUUAAAAAGCAGAGGGAGCAGAGUCACUAAAAAGGUUGCAAUCAAAAUAAAAUUAAUCAUCCAAGCAAAACAAGGCAAACCUUUUUGCCCUUUGUAACAGGUAGGUGGCUUUCCUCAAUAAAUAGCAGCAGGUCUUUUUGAGGAUUAUUGUAUAAUAAAUCCAGUUCUUACAGUUACAAUGGGAAUAAGAUAAAAUAUUUUGUUUUUCUGAAGUUGCUCUAAUGCCUUUGCUGUAUUUUACAGGUUUGCCAAGUGGUGGCUAUUUAGUUGCUCACUGUUUUCACUGUUGGGUGAUCAAAAAAGUGAAUGAUAGUGAAUUUGUUCUUUCCACAACUGAUAAGAGAAGCCAUCAACAGUUUCAUGUUUCAGAGAAAAGUGAAACCCACAAGCAGGCUGGGAAAGGUAAAGCAAAAGUGAUACCAGAGCCCGGAGCAGCUAGAACACUUUGAGGUAAGAUAAAUUGAGACAGAAGCAGUGCAUCCUCAUUGCCUCAUCUCAGGAGUAAAUGGGCUGUUUAUUAGCAUGAGACUAGUACAAAAGGCAGGACUACAAAGGAGAAUUGAAAGAAACCAUGCCUAAAAAAUCUCAGUAAUUUGAAAGGAUUUGACUUUGCACCUGUUUCACAUCCUUUGUUGUACAAAGGUACAAGUCUCACUAUCAAGGUACAAGGUACAUCCAAGGCUGUACCUUGUCCUUGAUAGUGAAACUGUUGGCCAGCUUUUAAUGCAAUUCCAAAAUACAAUUUUGCGGGUCAAGUUCUGAGGACAGGAAUGGAAAUGUGAUGGUGGAAAGGGGGAUAAGAAUACAAAAGAUAGAAUUUUCUACAUUUUGUAAGCUUGUAAUACAAAGAAUUGGAAGAAAUACAUUUACAGGGAUAUAAAAUAUAAGCAAAAAAAAAAAAAUUAAAAGAAGGCAGUAUGACAUAGGACCACUGCAAAGGAACAUAAUAGGGACAUUACAGAUUGGACAGACUGCAAACCAUUUAGGAAAACUGAAGUGUGGAUUAAUCCAGGGAAAAAAAAAAAAAAGAAAAAAAAAGAAAAAAAAAAAGCAAAUGAUGUGGAAAAAAAAAGCUGGGGGGGGGAUAUGAUUAAACAGGUUUUAAUGGAUACAUUCUUUAAAUCUAUAUCAAGUUUCAGUAUUUGGUAUUUCAGACAGUUAUUUAUAUUGCUGUUGGCCAGGUCUGUUGUUAAUCAAAUACUAUGUAGAAAGUGUGUUCAAAUGUUGUGAAAUAUUCACACAAAAAGUUUAUUUUGCUAACUGACAGUGAUACAAUCGGAUACACUAAAACCCAUGUAUUCCUCUUCAUUUCACAAAACUCAGCACUUAGCAUGAUGAAGGUGGAAUAUUUAACUCUGGUUAGUAUGUCCAGUUCCAGAGAUUAUUUUUUGUGUGUGUGUAUGUGGAGACAUGAGACCAGGAUAAACUGAGAUCAAUGGCUGUUUAUAAAUUAAAAAUGUCUGAAUUGUCAAUCAAAUAUACUUCUAGUAGUUUUGAAAUUUCUUUAAGCAGUACUAAUAUAAUACAAUUUAAUAUAAAACUUGUGUCUUUCAGAAUAAAUAAUAAAGUAUUAUUGGUAUCUGAAAGUUGGGCUGAUGUGAAAAUGCAAAGUAAAGUGUUGAUGUGCUCAAAAAUGUUAUAACCAUUUAGGAUAUUUUGUUGAGUGACAGCAAAAUGUCUUCAUCAUAUCUACAGAUUUUCUACAUGAUCUAUUUCUCUUCUCCCUGCUCCCAGAGGGAUACUUUUGCUGGAGAAUGUGCUUCUUUAGAAACGUGUCAUUACGCUGUCUUAAUGAAGAAAUGUAAUACAAUGAAAGAAUGUUUUGCUUUGAAAUUUUUGUUGAUCACUUCCUUUUGAAACCAAUGAGACACAUUUGAAAAUACAGUUGUUAAUAUUUUAAUAACAUGAUAUACUGUGAACUACAUCAAGAAAGUAUUAAAAGGUCAAUUUAUAAGAAUACAGCAGAAUAACACUAAUAAGUACUAAAAUGAACUCAUGUUUCACCGUUUUUAUCAGAAAGCAGAGAAUAAAGAAAAAUAUAUGAUUUAUUCACAGGAACUUUUGGACUCUUGGAUUAAGAAAGGGGAGGGGGGAAGUGUUAUUUUAGUUUUUGUUUUUUAUUACUUACUACCCAAAUCUAUUUUAAUUGGCAAUAAAUUAAAUUAAUGCCCCCCUAAGUCAAGCCUGUUUUACCACUGAGAGUAACUGGUAAGCAAUUUCACAGUCUUUACCAUGACCCACAGACUUUUCCACCAUAUUUUCUCCCCUCGUCCAGCUGAGGAGGUGGAGUGAGAGAGCUGCGUGGACAUCUGGCUGCUGGCCAAGACUAACCCAUCACAGUACAGUAAUUAGUGCAGUCAUGUCGUGCAGUCCAAGCCCAAGAUUUUUAAGUAAUUUCAUAACAGCUCACUAUUUAAAAUGAUGUUUUUAUUUUAAUACCAUAUGCUAUUGGUAACAAUGGAAAACAAUUAUAUAUUUUUCCUUUUAUUGAUUAUAUUAAAUAAUACAGCUGGUAUACGUGCUUUGUGCAUAAUAUAGUAUCAUCAUAGACUCAAUUUAGUCUUCAUUUGUUAUUUUUGUAAAUAAAAUCUUAAAACACUUUUACAGAUAGUAGGGUGGAAACACUAUGAAGUAUUUUCAGCUUUAUCUGUGUCCAGUGUGAUUUCUGACUAAUGGAAACUAGAAAUCUGAAUAACACACCCACAACCAUGGAAGGACUAAAUCCAGUUUGCAUUCCAUAGCAACCUAGUUGCACAAAAAGUUGCCAAUGAGCAAUUCCAAUGAACUAUACGGUUGUAGAACAGUUAAGUUUCAUGGAUCUUGUUAAGGAAAAAAAUAAAAAUAAAUAAAAAAUAAAUGUUGGGGGAGGGGCUUGCUUAACAAGAUCCAUGAAAAAAAGAAGUGUUUUUUUGCUUCUUUGUUUGUUUGUUGAAAUCAUGAAUCCUAUCCCAAGAACGAUCAACAGUGGAUCUGAUUGUGGUCAAAGGAAAACAAGCUUUGGUAACACCUGAUUCAGGGCUUACAAGACAUGCAGCUCACGAACAUAGCACUUGCAGAUUUUUAGUUUUAGCACUGCUAUUGAAUGAAGGCCUGUAGAAGACUGUUGGAAGAGGAGAAAUAUGAGAGAAUGGAGAAGCAGAAAGAGUAAAGAGAGCAAUCUGCAGAUGUGGCAGAGACCAAGUAUAUUAGGGGAUAAAACAAAAGGAAUGGAUGGAAAAGAUAAAUGGCAAUGAAUUAAAUUUAAUUAAUGGCAGCUCUACUUUCAAUCCUACUACCUGCUGUUACCAACCGUUCCCCUUCCUUUUGAUUUCUACUCCUCCCUUGUCAUACAUAGGCAUCCAUCUGAUCUUAGAAGCUGCCACAGACACAGGGAAUGGCAGGCAUAGAACAGAUGCAUCUCACACAAAAUUGGGAAUAGAGAAGUGAUCUCAGGUCCCCAUAUCAUAGGGAAUGUCUCUGUGAGAGGGCCCUGUAACACUGAUAGAGGGAUAAAAUUGUCUCUGAGUGUACAUGUUAGCCUGUUAGUCAAACUCUGAGAAGUUCUCUCAUUAAUGUCUCCUUCAUUCAAAUUUUGAGGACCAGGCCUGUCGUGGUAAGAGGGGCAGAAGAGGCAACCUAAGCUCCCCUCUCCCCCUCCCUUUCUUCCUCUCCCUCUUCCUUCCUAUCUGGCUUCGUUCAAGAGCGUAUGUGUAUAUAUUAUGAUCUGCAGGCCAAUUACCUCAAAAAGAUAUAAGAGCUCCUUUCUCUCUUCCCCAAGUACACCAACAUCUGGAGAAAUCUUUUCAAAUUAUUCUGCUAGGUCAUGGAAACUAAUUAUGUAAGAUGGUGGUAACUGGCAAUGGUGGGUGCUGAGUUUUUCAUUUGUUGAUGAUUUUGAAUGAGGAUGAGUGGAUAUCAUCUGUUUUGGUUAGUUACCUGCCUCAGUAUUAGAACUGUUCAAUAUUUUCUUAGCUAUGUUUAUACAAGAGAUGAGACAUUGGUCUUGUUUUACCAGAUGAUAAAAGAAGCUAUAGAAGGAAGUAAUGAGAAAGUACUCUGAAUACAGCAAAAAUACCAGAUGAUGACUUCGAUUAGGAAAACCUUUAAGGACAAGAUAAUGUCUUGAAAUUCACAUUUUAUUCACAAUGACUUCUAGCAAAAAUAAAACUUGAAAAUGU